CUUUGCUGCACCAGACAGAAAAUCCAGCCCUCUUUCCCUACUCUUUUCCUUGUUCUUGGUUUCUUUCUUCUCCGCUUCUUACAUGGCAGCCCUCCCUCUCUCACCAAAACAAAAUAUCCCUCUCUAAAGAAGAAAUUAAAGGGUUAACACUAAAAUUUCAGCUUCAAAUUGUUGGGGUGUUACCAGUUCCCCAGGUUUAAGCUCCGUCGACUGUAGACUCUCGGUUCCUCUGCUUUCAAGUAAGGGAUAAGUUAUAUGAGUAUUUGGUAAGUCAUGAGAUUAUUUUAAAGUAUAUUAUGCAUUAAAAAGUUUUUGAUUAGAGAUAUGACAUGUAAUCAUGUUUUAGACAAAGAUAUGUUCGUGAACUUUUGAAACCUUAUGUAUAUGAUUUAAGCAUAUUGAUGCUAUUAUUGAUUCCACAAACAUGAUGUUUAAAGAAAAGAAUGGAAAUGCUAUUAUUAUGAAAUGUUAUGCAAAAUAAGAAAUUUCAGUAUGAUGUAAAGUAUGAAAUGUUUUCGGGUUAUGUCCUUUGGUAAUCUAAACUCGGCUAGUAGGGGUUAAUUACUAGCUUUCCAUGGAAAAAUGUUAUCUGUUUGGCCAUUUAAAGUAGAGGAAAUGGGGCUGCCCGUAACUCUAGGCAAUUUAAAGUAGAGGAAAUGGGAUUGCCCGUAACUCUAAUCUGAAUAAGGCCUUCUCCCCAAUGUGUACGGACAGUGGGGAGGAAUAAAACCUUGAAGGGAUGUGCCAUCAGGCCUCUCAAAGAGGACAAUAUCAUGCACACGAGGUCACCCAAAUGUGAUGAGGCCUUCUCUGUACAACUUAUCAGAUAUGGACUAACCAAUAUGUUAUGAACAGCUAUAUUAUGUUAUUAAUCAUGAGAAAAUUAUUUUGUGUAAAUGCAUUGUGAAAAGUAAAAGCUCUCAUGGCAAGAAGAAGUUUUUGAUGAAAAGAAAAGUUGUUCAUUAAAGAUAAAAGUUUCUGAAGUUCUAUUGUGCUAUAAAGAUAAAACUUUUGAUGAAAGUACAAGUUAUGUUUAAAAGUUAUCAGAUACUUGUUCUUUAUGAAAUGUUAAGUUUUAUGACUAUGAAAGUUAUAAUAUUUUUUGGGAAAAUGUUUAUAAAGAAAGAUUUUCUUAUUGGGUCAAGAUGUUUCUAGUUUAAUACAAAGUUGUCGAUUAUCUGAUUUAAGUUAAAAUGAUUAUUUUGUAAUGAGAAUAUACAUAUGAUGACUUUGUAGGAAAUGAAAUAAGCUUAAUCCGAAAGGUUUUGGUAAUAUUAACCUGAUAAGAAAAAGGAGAACAAUUAUUUUCUAUGAAGAGUGUAUAAGCUAUUAUUAUGAAUAGUAUAAAAUACUAUGCAUGAAAAGAUGUUCUCCUGUUCGAAUAUUUAUAGAAUGAAAUGAUUUGAUUUACAUGCAUCCUUAUUGAAUUUUCAUAUAUCUUACCUUUACUAAGCUGUGUAGCUCACCCCUUCCACUCUUUCAGUUAGUAGGUUUUAUUUUGGAGCAGAGGGAGCCUUAGUCGAGUUUGGAAGGAGUUGGUUUUAGUUUUAUAUGUAUAGAUCCUAAAUUAACAAUUUGAUGUUUAGCAAUUUGAUGUUUAGCUUUGUAGUAUUGUGUAUUUUAGGAUCUAAUGAAAGUUGUGUACCUUAAAGUAGUAAGAGAUGUAUUAUGUGAAAGUGUGAAAAUUAAAUGAUUGAUGGAUUAUGUUAUAUUUUGAGUA
Molecule: long non-coding RNA, 1720 nt
Organism: Quercus robur (English oak)
Lineage: Eukaryota; Viridiplantae; Streptophyta; Magnoliopsida; Fagales; Fagaceae
Exons: 2
Source: RefSeq, a predicted model, not a curated record